RNAcentral lists this ribosomal RNA (241 nucleotides) under uncultured bacterium. RNAcentral's name for it is "partial 16S ribosomal RNA". The record is from RNAcentral.
AACGAACGCUGGCGGCAGGCUUAACACAUGCAAGUCGAGCGCCUCGCCUUCAGCGAAGCUGAAGGCAGUGACCAGUGAUCAGUGACCAGUGACCGGGAAAGGGGGAGCCUCUUUCGGGUUGCGGGUGCUGAUGAGGUCGCUGCCGUGGUGUUGACGGGUGUCGGUGAUUUGUGAUCGGAAAGCUGAAGUCUUUCUGGUCACUGAUUACUGGUCACNGGUCACUGCCAUCGGCUUCGCUGAU